CAAAUUUGCUUCAACUGUGUAAAAUGCAUAUACCCUACUCGACUAUUCAAUUUAAUUUUUUCCCACUAGAUUAGCACAAACAUUCACAUGCAAUCCAAUUAUCUGUUAAAACAGGCAUCUCGGGGCGGGGCCAAGCAGCAGAAGCAACCGGUCUCAUGAUAACAGAGCUCCAAGCCUAAGAGCCCUGUAAAACCCACAUUUUACUCAAAAACCGACCUAGACAGAGCAGGUAGGAACCCCUUCGGCUCUAGCGGACACAAUUGGGCGCCUAACGAAAAAAUAACGGUCGGACAACCCCAAAUCGGGACUGACAGUAGGGGAUCUGUGGCGGCAGGCCCAAGGCGCAUAUGGACCCACAAUGGCGUCCCACGCGGGAAACUGCUCCAACUUUUAUGACGACCUGAUUUGCGAAACUGAACUGAGCACUACGCCCGCUUCGAUUCCGCACCUGCCACACCAACCUGCAUUCUCGC
Non-coding RNA from Pelobates cultripes (western spadefoot toad), 473 nucleotides. Lineage: Eukaryota; Metazoa; Chordata; Amphibia; Anura; Pelobatidae. The record is from the annotation of a GenBank genome assembly.